CCUANGGGAGGCAGCAGUGGGGAAUCUUGGACAAUGGGCGCAAGCCUGAUCCAGCCAUGCCGCGUGGAUGAUGAAGGCCUUAGGGUUGUAAAAUCCUUUCGCCGAGGACGAUAAUGACGGUACUCGGAGAAGAAGCUCCGGCUAACUUCGUGCCAGCAGCCGCGGUAAUACGAAGGGGGCUAGCGUUGUUCGGAUUUACUGGGCGUAAAGCGCGUGUAGGCGGGCUGGUAAGUUGGGGGUGAAAUCCCGAGGCUCAACCUCGGAACUGCCUCCAAAACUGUCAGCCUGGACCCAAGUAGAGGCAAGUGGAAUUGCGAGUGUAGAGGUGAAAUUCGUAGAUAUUCGCAGGAACACCAGUGGCGAAGGCGACUUGCUGGACUUGUGGUGACGCUGAGACGCGAAAGCGUGGGGAGCAAACAGGAUUAGAUACCCCGNUANUC
This 440-nucleotide ribosomal RNA is filed under the name uncultured bacterium. RNAcentral's name for it is "bacterial SSU rRNA". It matches the Rfam family "Bacterial small subunit ribosomal RNA", at positions 338 to 795 of the family's 1533-position model. The record is from RNAcentral.